GCCCGGUUAGCUCAGUUGGUAGAGCAUCAGACUUUUAAUCUGAGGGUCAAGGGUUCAAGUCCCUUAUUGGCG
RNAcentral lists this transfer RNA (72 nucleotides) under Anneissia japonica. RNAcentral describes it as "tRNA-Lys". It matches the Rfam family "tRNA". Rfam says of the family: Transfer RNA (tRNA) molecules are approximately 80 nucleotides in length. Lineage: Eukaryota; Metazoa; Echinodermata; Crinoidea; Comatulida; Comatulidae. The record is from RNAcentral.